This 490-nucleotide ribosomal RNA is filed under the name uncultured bacterium. Its description in RNAcentral is "partial 16S ribosomal RNA". It matches the Rfam family "Bacterial small subunit ribosomal RNA", at positions 29 to 505 of the family's 1533-position model. The record is from RNAcentral.
AGUGAACGCUGGCGGUAGGCCUAACACAUGCCAGUCGAACGGCAGCACAGUAAGAGCUUGCUCUUACGGGUGGCGAGUGGCGGACGGGUGAGGAAUACAUCGGAAUCUACUUUUUCGUGGGGGAUAACGUAGGGAAACUUACGCUAAUACCGCAUACGACCUACGGGUGAAAGCAGGGGAUCUUCGGACCUUGCGCGAUUGAAUGAGCCGAUGUCGGUUUAGUUAGUUGGUGGGGUAAAGGCCCAACAAGGCGACGUUCCGUAGCUGGUCUGAGAGGGUGAUCAGCCACAGUGGGACAGCGACAGGGUCCAGACUCCUACGGGAGGCAGGUGUGGUGAAUAUUAGACAAUGGGCGCAAGCCUGAUCCAGCCAUACCGCGUGGGUGAAGAGGGCCUUCGGGUUGUAAAGCCCUUUUGUUGGGAAAGAAAGGCAGCAGGUUAAUACCCCGCUGUUCUGACGGUACCCAAAGAAUAAGCGCCGGCUAACUUCG